GAGAAACAGAAUGAAUAUUAUUGAUCUUCAGUCUCAUCUUUACAUACAGAGCUGUAACACAACAAACUAACUUGGUUUCCAAUGAUAAGCUGACAACUCAGCUUGGUAAUCUGCACCAUUUAACAAACUUUCCCGCCUCUAUUGAACUAAAUAAAUUAAGUAUUGCUACAUGCCUUCAUUAUCAUACAGAGGUUAUAAACUAUAAAACUUUUAUUGUUGAUCAAACACCCGAUCACACUAUCAAUACUGAUAAAGAAGUUGAUCUUUUGCAGGAUCAGAGAACAAAAUCUAGCCCAGUUUUGCCCCAUCGGCUUCUCCAUUAGCUUGCAAGAUAUCUUUUCCAAAUGCUGCUACAAUCUUAUUAUAGCCACCACUAUCUUUCUUCAGAACAUCCUGCACACUGUUCUAGUAUGGUAUAAAGAAAGUUCCAGGAUAGAUGUUGAGGAAGGAAAAGCUUUAGCAAGAAAACAGAGUAUGAAUCGAUACACAAAUUCCAUGAUGACAAUGUAAAGUUACCAUGCAAGGACAUUCCCAAAAAUCUAUUAAAAAAUAAAGAAAUUCAGUAGGUAAGUCAUGUUAAUAAUUAGCCAGGUCUCAUUUUUCAAUAAUUCAGGAUAUCAGCAAACAACUGUCAUUUGUCAGAGACAUUAUUUAGUUUAGAGUCAUUGUUUUGUCAAAAGGCCUAAUAAUAUAAUCUCACUAUUAAUUAACUCAGAACAUUGUUGAUAAGGGAUAACCAAAUUCCGUCCUCCCCCUCCCACAAGAAUACACCAGCACCAUUAUCACCAGCACUGUCACCAUAACACAAUUACCAUCAUUACCAUUAACACCAUGGACAAAAACACUCUCAUCACGAUACAGCAUGUCAUAAGGGAAUUCAAAUCCAAAUUUAAAGCGGUGAGAAAUUGGAAUAAAUAAAGCAUUGAGUGACAUUUUAAAAUGACAUGCAAAUUCGAAAAAUCUAUAAUUAAGCAAUCACAUAAGCAGCCCUGGCUAAACCCAAAUUACAUAAAAAAGAAAAUGAGAACAGUGAAACUCAAAAUGCCCAAAUUAUAUAAUCGAAGUUGGCUUUCCGAAUUCUUUAUCAAAGUUGCCGGGAAUGGACAGAAUUAGAAUAUGCAACUAAAAAACAAGGAAUCAUGUGAUUGUAUUAACUGAAAUGGACUGUAUCAGAAUUAUAUAGGUUUAAAAACAUGGAGAAAGUAAAUAAAGAAGGGCAGAAGAAAAGAAGGCACACACGAGCAACGAGAUCGGCGUCAAAAGAUUGGAAGCCGUGCUCUUAUCUGACGCUUCCGCCCGUCAAUCCUACUGUCCUCCUUUGGGAUGGCAACGGUGGCGCCCACGAAAAUCACCUUAUUUCAAACCGAACGAUUAACAUUAUCA
Molecule: unclassified non-coding RNA, 1383 nt
Filed under: Hevea brasiliensis (rubber tree)
Lineage: Eukaryota; Viridiplantae; Streptophyta; Magnoliopsida; Malpighiales; Euphorbiaceae
Source: RNAcentral